Molecule: ribosomal RNA, 253 nt
Filed under: uncultured bacterium
Lineage: Bacteria
Description: partial 16S ribosomal RNA
Rfam family: Bacterial small subunit ribosomal RNA
Source: RNAcentral
UACAGAGGUCUCGAGCGUUAGGCGGAAUCACUGGGCUUAAAGCGUGUGUAGGCGGUUCGUUAAGUCCCUUGUGAAAUCCCACGGCUUAACCGUGGAACUGCUUGGUAUACUGGCGGUCUUGAGCCAGCUAGGGGCUACCGGAACAAAUGGUGGAGCGGUGAAAUGCGUAGAUAUCAUUUGGAACGCCAAUGGUGAAAACAGGUAGCUGGGGCUGUGCUGACGCUGAGACACGAAAGCCAGGGGAGCAAACGGG